RNAcentral lists this unclassified non-coding RNA (2243 nucleotides) under Eurytemora carolleeae. RNAcentral's name for it is "transcription initiation factor TFIID subunit 6- like". The record is from RNAcentral. Lineage: Eukaryota; Metazoa; Arthropoda; Copepoda; Calanoida; Temoridae.
UUCAGAUUUUCAAUGAGAUAAAAAUGAUGAAUAUGAUGGAAGACUCCCAGCAUGAAGUAGGACUAGGAGGAGUUAAAUCUGAACCUAUCGAGGUUGAUCAUCAAGUGGAGGAUACGGUUGGAGUUAGCACAGAGACUAUCAAGAUAAUAGCAGAUACACUUGGUAUGCCUGGCCUGCCUGAGGAUGCAUGCCGGGAGUUGAGUGAAGAGGUGACCUACAGGCUACGAAUGCUGACGCAGAACGCGCAGAAGUUUAUGAACCACGGACGCAGAACCAAAAUGUUUUGUGAUGAUAUUGAUCAUGCACUUAAACUUCAAGGACAAGAACCUCUUUAUGGAUUUCAGGCGCAAGAGCACAUACCUUUCCGGUUUUCCAGCGGGGGAGGUCGUGACCUCCAUUUUCUGGAGGACAAGGAGAUCGACCUCAACGAGCUUGUAAACAACCAACUUCCUAAAAUUCCAAUGGCGCCUAGUCUCCGAGCUCAUUGGUUAGCCAUUGAUGGAAUCCAACCUGCGAUCCCAGAAAAUCCUCCACCACAGAGUAAAGAUCAGCUGAUCACGGACUCCGUCGAUCCUGCCGCCAAACUCAAGAGCGGAGACGCCAAGGAUAAUAAACUAGGAGCUGUCCUAGGGCAGGCUAAGAUGAAGACUGUAGAGACGGUGAACGUGAAGCAGUUGGCCAGCCAUGAACUCAGUGUAGAACAACAGCUUUACUUCAAGGAGAUUACCGAGGCCUGUGUUGGAUCUGACGAACCCCGACGCGCCGAGGCGUUACAGUCUCUUGCCUGUGAUCCUGGUUUACAUCAGAUGCUACCAAGAUUAGCUACGUUUAUCGCUGAGGGUGUUCGAGUGAACGUUGUACAGCAUAACCUCGCUAUCCUGAUCUACCUUAUGCGUAUGGUGAAAUCAUUACUAGAGAACCAAACAUUGUACCUGGAGAAGUACCUUCAUGAACUGAUACCUGCUGUAGCAACCUGUAUAGUUUCUAGACAGCUCUGUUCUAGACCAGACCAUGAUAAUCAUUGGGCGCUCAGAGAUUUCGCGAGCAGAAUGAUGGCAGCCAUUUGCAAAAAUUUUCAUACUUCAACGAACAAUAUUCAAACUAGGGUUACCAAGAUGUUUAGUGACGCGCUCAAAUCUGAGCGCGCACCCCUUGUAUCCUACUACGGAGCUAUUGCUGGUCUUCAGGAGUUGGGACCCGACGUGAUCAAGGUCUUCAUCCUCCCUUACAUCAGCAUCCUCGCAGCUAAAAUCGACGCUGCCCUGGACUCCAACAACAGCAACCUUGCCACCUCCAGUGUAGAGAAGAUCGCUGCUCAGAAUAUUAGAACUCUAUUGGUGAAGUCCGUAAGUCCAGUGUUAAAAAGUUUACGUGACCCCCCGGACUAUAUUGAGGACUACAGGCUCGAGUUCGGGUCCCUGGGACAACCUCUGCAUACAGGGGUAGAACGAGCUCGAAAACAAUCUGGGAAUAAAUCUAGCGGAUUGGCCAGUACACCUGCCCGCCUACCUAGCCUAACCACGCCCACUGCCCGCCCACCUCAACCCUCAAAUGCAAGCCAACAAAAGGUGUUUAUUGUAAACCAACAGCAACAGCAAGGACAGCCAAGUCAACAACUACAACAAGUUCAGCAACUUCAAGUUCAACAGCUACAAGGAAUUCAGUCCCCUCAGGUUAGAACGGUUGUACUCCAGGACGGAAACCAGACUCCGCAUAGACCUAACCCAACCCAGCAGAUCGGAGUCAGAUCCGUCUUCCAACAAAACCCAUUCCCUUGAAGUACUUGAGUUAAACCUGGAGUACUAAGGUUUAAUUGUACAUAUACUUGUACAUAGAUUAUAAUAUUAUAGUGUAGAUCUAAGAAGAGGAAUUCAAGUUUGUCUACAUUUUAUUGUGAGUUGAAAAGUGACAAACCUUAUCCCCCUUUCCUUAGUUCUAAACCUCCUUGGAUUUAAUUAAUUGUACGAUACAUUGUAACUUGGUAUAGUAAAUAAUGCAUAAAAUAUCAAGGCCUUAUUCUCAAUAUUGACAGGGGUGUAUAUUUUCCUAAAAAAUCAUUUCCCCUAAUUUUUAAAGCACCACACAAAUCCAUUCGAUACACAUAGGAGCCUUCUGAAAUGAUGCAGUAUUUUUAAUAUUAUAUAUAAUACAUGUUUUAUGUUAACAUUAUUAUUUAUUUGUGUUAUUUCGUAAUAAUGAUCGUAGCUGAAAAUAUUUAAUAAUUCUGAUUUGUUUUUGUGUUA